AUAUUAAUUAAAAUUCACUACCUAUUUCUCAAUAGCAAUAGCAAAUAAUUUUUAUUUUUCAAAUAACAAUUAAUUCAUUGAAUCCUAUGAUCAUUCAAUAAAAAUUCCUAUAAACCAAGUCUUGUGCUUCCUCAAUUGCGCUCAAACUAUUAUUCCCAUGUAAUUUGUUGCCUAAUUCUCGUUUAGUAAUCUUCUCACCAAUGAGGAUGAAUGAAUAACAUCAAUUGAAUAAUAAAUAUUAAAAAGCAUUAAACUCCAUAAUAAACUAUUACAUUGAUAACCAAAAUCACACAAAAUAAAUUAAAUUAAAUUAAUUUCAAGCUACGUCAAAAUCUCCAAAAUUGAGAACUAACAUCAAAGUCUUAAGACAGAAAGAAAAACUAAAAUACAGAUUUAGCACAAAC
RNAcentral lists this unclassified non-coding RNA (404 nucleotides) under Hevea brasiliensis (rubber tree). The record is from RNAcentral. Lineage: Eukaryota; Viridiplantae; Streptophyta; Magnoliopsida; Malpighiales; Euphorbiaceae.